CCUACGGGAGGCUGCAGUGGGGAAUAUUGGACAAUGGGGGCAACCCUGAUCCAGCCAUGCCGCGUGUGUGAAGAAGGCCCUCGGGUUGUAAAGCACUUUCAGUGAGGAAGAACGCCUGGUGGUUAAUACCCAUCAGGAAAGACAUCACUCACAGAAGAAGCACCGGCUAACUCCGUGCCAGCAGCCGCGGUAAUACGGAGGGUGCGAGCGUUAAUCGGAAUUACUGGGCGUAAAGCGCGCGUAGGUGGCUUGAUAAGCCGGUUGUGAAAGCCCCGGGCUCAACCUGGGAACGGCAUCCGGAACUGUCAAGCUAGAGUGCAGGAGAGGAAGGUGGAACUCCCGGUGUAGCGGUGAAAUGCGUAGAGAUCGGGAGGAAUACCAGUGGCGAAGGCGGCCUUCUGGACUGACACUGACACUGAGGUGCGAAAGCGUGGGUAGCAAACAGGAUUAGAUACCCUGGUAGUC
RNAcentral lists this ribosomal RNA (465 nucleotides) under Vreelandella stevensii. Its description in RNAcentral is "partial 16S ribosomal RNA". It matches the Rfam family "Bacterial small subunit ribosomal RNA", at positions 338 to 795 of the family's 1533-position model. Lineage: Bacteria; Pseudomonadati; Pseudomonadota; Gammaproteobacteria; Oceanospirillales; Halomonadaceae. The record is from RNAcentral.